RNAcentral lists this ribosomal RNA (492 nucleotides) under uncultured bacterium. RNAcentral's name for it is "partial 16S ribosomal RNA". It matches the Rfam family "Bacterial small subunit ribosomal RNA", at positions 29 to 507 of the family's 1533-position model. The record is from RNAcentral.
AGUGAACGCUGGCGGUAGGCCUAACACAUGCAAGUCGAACGGCAGCACAGUAAGAGCUUGCUCUUACGGGUGGCGAGUGGCGGACGGGUGAGGAAUACAUCGGAAUCUACUUUUUCGUGGGGGAUAACGUAGGGAAACUUACGCUAAUACCGCAUACGACCUACGGGUGAAAGCAGGGGAUCUUCGGACCUUGCGCGAUUGAAUGAGCCGAUGUCGGAUUAGCUAGUUGGCGGGGUAAAGGCCCACCAAGGCGACGAUCCGUAGCUGGUCUGAGAGGAUGAUCAGCCACACUGGAACUGAGACACGGUCCAGACUCCUACUGGAGGCAGCAGUGGGGAAUAUUGGACAAUGGGCGCAAGCCUGAUCCAGCCAUACCGCGUGGGUGAAGAAGGCCUUCGGGUUGUAAAGCCCUUUUGUUGGGAAAGAAAAGCAGCAGGUUAAUACCCCGCUAUUCUGACGGUACCCAAAGAAUAAGCACCGGCUAACUUCGUG